Molecule: transfer RNA, 72 nt
Filed under: Camelus bactrianus (Bactrian camel)
Lineage: Eukaryota; Metazoa; Chordata; Mammalia; Artiodactyla; Camelidae
Also listed under: 1 other name
Rfam family: tRNA
About the family: Transfer RNA (tRNA) molecules are approximately 80 nucleotides in length. Their secondary structure includes four short double-helical elements and three loops (D, anti-codon, and T loops).
Source: Rfam by way of RNAcentral
CUAGGUAUAGUUUAGUGGUAAAGCACAUGCUUAGCAUGCACGGGGUUUUGGGUUCAAUACUCAGUACCUCCA